RNAcentral lists this ribosomal RNA (253 nucleotides) under uncultured bacterium. Its description in RNAcentral is "partial 16S ribosomal RNA". It matches the Rfam family "Bacterial small subunit ribosomal RNA", at positions 524 to 776 of the family's 1533-position model. The record is from RNAcentral.
CACGUAGGAGGCGAGCGUUGUCCGGAAUUAUUGGGCGUAAAGAGCUCGUAGGCGGUCUGUCGCGUCUGCUGUGAAAACUCAGGGCUUAACCCUGAGCUUGCAGUGGGUACGGGCAGACUAGAGUGCGGUAGGGGAGACUGGAAUUCCUGGUGUAGCGGUGAAAUGCGCAGAUAUCAGGAAGAACACCCGUGGCGAAGGCGGCUCUCUGGGACGGUACUGACGCUGAGGUGCGAAAGCGUGGGGAGCAAACAGG